This 301-nucleotide ribosomal RNA is filed under the name uncultured bacterium. RNAcentral describes it as "partial 16S ribosomal RNA". It matches the Rfam family "Bacterial small subunit ribosomal RNA", at positions 509 to 809 of the family's 1533-position model. The record is from RNAcentral.
CAGUCGCCGCGGGAAUACGAAGGGUGCAAGCGUUAAUCGGAAUUACUGGGCGUAAAGCGUGCGUAGGCGGUUUGUUAAGUCUGCUGUGAAAUCCCCGGGCUCAACCUGGGAAUGGCAGUGGAUACUGGCAAGCUAGAGUGUGUCAGAGGAUGGUGGAAUUCCCGGUGUAGCGGUGAAAUGCGUAGAGAUCGGGAGGAACAUCAGUGGCGAAGGCGGCCAUCUGGGACAACACUGACGCUGAGGCACGAAAGCGUGGGGAGCAAACAGGAUUAGAUACCCCCGUAGUCCCUGUCUCUUACAC